RNAcentral lists this ribosomal RNA (492 nucleotides) under uncultured bacterium. Its description in RNAcentral is "partial 16S ribosomal RNA". It matches the Rfam family "Bacterial small subunit ribosomal RNA", at positions 29 to 507 of the family's 1533-position model. The record is from RNAcentral.
AGUGAACGCUGGCGGUAGGCCUAACACAUGCAAGUCGAACGGCAGCACAGUAAGAGCUUGCUCUUACGGGUGGCGAGUGGCGGACGGGUGAGGAAUACAUCGGAAUCUACUUUUUCGUGGGGGAUAACGUAGGGAAACUUACGCUAAUACCGCAUACGACCUACGGGUGAAAGCAGGGGAUCUUCGGACCUUGCGCGAUUGAAUGAGCCGAUGUCGGAUUAGCUAGUUGGCGGGGUAAAGGCCCACCAAGGCGACGAUCCGUAGCUGGUCUGAGAGGAUGAUCAGCCACACUGGAACUGAGACACGGUCCAGACUCCUACGGGAGGCAGCAGUGGGGAAUAUUGGACAAUGGGGGCAAGCCUGAUCCAGCCAUACCGCGUGGGUGAAGAAGGCCUUCGGGUUGUAAAGCCCUUUUGUUGGGAAAGAAAAGCAGCAGGUUAAUAACCCGCUGUUCUGACGGUACCCAAAGAAUAAGCACCGGCUAACUUCGUG